Molecule: ribosomal RNA, 399 nt
Filed under: Staphylococcus warneri
Lineage: Bacteria; Bacillati; Bacillota; Bacilli; Caryophanales; Staphylococcaceae
Description: bacterial SSU rRNA
Rfam family: Bacterial small subunit ribosomal RNA
Source: RNAcentral
GUCGAGCGAACAGAUAGAGGAGCUUGCUCCUUUGACGUUAGCGGCGGACGGGUGAGUAACACGUGGAUAACCUACCUAUAAGACUGGGAUAACUUCGGGAAACCGGAGCUAAUACCGGAUAACAUAUUGAACCGCAUGGUUCAAUAGUGAAAGACGGCUUUGCUGUCACUUAUAGAUGGAUCCGCGCCGUAUUAGCUAGUUGGUAAGGUAACGGCUUACCAAGGCAACGAUGCGUAGCCGACCUGAGAGGGUGAUCGGCCACACUGGAACUGAGACACGGUCCAGACUCCUACGGGAGGCAGCAGUAGGGAAUCUUCCGCAAUGGGCGAAAGCCUGACGGAGCAACGCCGCGUGAGUGAUGAAGGUCUUCGGAUCGUAAAACUCUGUUAUCAGGGGAGA